Long non-coding RNA from Oncorhynchus keta (chum salmon), 3524 nucleotides. RefSeq lists it as uncharacterized. The transcript has 3 exons. NCBI's taxonomy places the organism in Eukaryota, Metazoa, Chordata, Actinopteri, Salmoniformes, Salmonidae. The record is from RefSeq and is a predicted model, not a curated record.
AACCCUUCAUGCAGCUAUGAUUCUAUAAGGAAACAAAUGAUGAAGUGCAACUCUGGAGAGAUGAGGGGGCAGGAUAAUUGACGAAGAGGCAACUCGAAUGAACUUUGAUCGCUUUUAUUAUAAUUGUUACAUAGCAAAAAGUGACAAUUAUUUUUCAUGGCACGAGAGGUACCGGAUUCGGCCAAGUAGGUUCCGGAACAAAACAGUCCAGAACGGAAAGGUGCCGGAUCCUGUUCUGGCAUGAUCCGGCUCAAAUUAAGCACUGACUUGAAGUACCUAGGCCUCUACCUGCUGAGUAUAAAUAUUAUUAAACUAGAUUCAGUGGGCUUGUCAUCCACAGUACUGAUGAAAAAUCAAGUAUAUUUGAUCUAAAUGUGGAUAUACGAGGACAUCUAGUGGUCACCGGAUUUUUAAAAAAAAUCAUGCAAGCUAUCUUUGUACGAGCAUGCGAUGCCAUAUAUUUGACGCAGGUAUUUAUUAUUCAACAAGGAUAGUCAUUGACCCGGACAAAAUAUAAUUGUAUGAGCUAUGCCUCCUUGUACCGGCGUUGUUGCACCCCUCUACUAUCUGGCUUGGUGGGGCGAUCUCGUUCUGUAUUCCUGCUUCACUUAUAUUCAAUGUGUCGUCAUGCAUUUGUGCAUGCACGCUGUUAACUGUCAUAUCCGUCUUGCUAAUUUAGCUAGCUCAUUAACCAGUAUUUUAUUCGCCUUUUCUGCACGAUAGCAUUUAUUAAAGCCUUGCAAAUCAUGGGGACCUCACUGUUAUCACGGGUCAUCGAGCUGGCCCUUAUUUGGCAGCAGGGUUGCAUCGGUUUCCACUGGAUUUGACAGCUUGUUAGGCUGGCUAGCUAGGUAGCUAAUUCGCUAAUGCGAACUAUUUAUCAUGUAGCAGCCUAUGCUGACUAGCGUCGCUAGCAACUAGCUAACAUAGAUAAAGUUUAGUCGUGGGUCCACAAAAUCAAACAAAUGGUACUGAACUGAUGACAAAAUCAUGUUUCGAAAAUGUAGUAGCUAUUUAUGUUGUUGUUUAAUGACAUUGGGAAUAUAAUACUUUUUGUCAUUUAACUACCGGUAUGUAUUUAAUCCGGUUUCGGCAUGAGAAAAGUAUUAAUCGCAAAUUCCAGCACUAACGGAUACCGGGAAAUAGAAAUAAGAGAACCGGUCACGAAUGCGGAGCCACGCCCUAAAAUAACAUGUGACCACAAGGCGUUUGUGACACAUUCUUUGCGUUCAAAUUUUGUCAUAAUUGUCUGUAGGUUCUAAAUUGCUUAUGAGCUUGGCUGCCCUUCAGAAAGUAGCUGAUUCUUGUACUCUACAGCUGUAUUUUCCUGCAGUUACUAAUAAUACUAGCAACAAAACAGAUUUCAUUCCUUAAAAUGAUAUUGCCAGAUGGAAGAAAAUAAUAAGAGCCUUGUCCCAGUCUCUAGACCUGCCUGUCUGUGUGGUGGAGGACCACCUGACCUCUGAAGCUGUCAAUGAGAUGGAGCAGAGCAAUUCUACCAGGAGCAGAGCAACCUCAGUGAUGGAAACCACAGAAGAGGGGAAGCUCAACAAUGUAGAACAUCUGACACUUAUGGACUUCCUUCAAAACCUAACUGAGAAGUAUGUUCUGUUUUCUUUGGUACUAUCACACCUUCAAGGAAAUAGGAUCAAAUUAGAAACUGAUCAAUCGGAAAAAAAUAGUUCAUUGCUAGAAAAGUUGUCACAUUGCAAUUUUGCCAAAACAACUGACACAAAGCAAGUAUAACUUCACGAUCAGGCAAAUAAUUAAAUAAAAACAAUUCUGCCACGCAUCCUGAUAUGACAACAUUUAUAACAAUAUUGUUUUCAGGCAAUGGAGGGGGAUUCAUGAGGGCAUGUUUGACCCGGUAAGAUCAUGUUACUGAAAAUGUAAAUAGAUUACCAUGAAAAAAAAACAGGUAAAUAUCAAGUACUUCAUUUCUAAGAAUGCUCCACAAUCAGUCAGUCGGACUUCGGAUGACUUUGAAGGUAAUGAGAAAUGUAUCUCUGCCUAAUGUUUAACCUUGUUCAUAAGCUUUUGGAAGACACACUAUGCAACAUUUUAAAACACUUAUUCUGUUUUUGGAAUACAGCUGACAAAACAACAGCUUUCCGGCUUGUGUCUGAGGAUUGUCCAGUUUUUAUCAGACAAGCUGAUGCAGAUCAUCAUCCCAGGUCUUUACGAACUACUGGGCAUCCAAGAUGCUGCCUCCUCUCCAUUGUCACAGAGAUCUCUCACAGCGUCACUCACCAGUCUGUUAGACGAUAAGGUUAACACCAAGUCCCGCGUGAGAUUUACUGAGGCUGGUGUACCUAAGAGGCCAGGCAGUCAAAAGUCUUACAAUAGCUUUCGCAUGCCGACUCCCUACCCUUCCUCCAACUGUGUGGAGCAGGAAGAGGAAGAAGAGCAGGAAUCACAACAACUUAAGUUCAAGGAGAUUUACCUGACUAAGGGCAGUGGAAGCUACCUGCCCAAUGGGGCCAUGAGGUAAGUCCCAUGAUGGUAGUGACUGUCCAUUACUGUUUAUGACUUAUCAACCAUCAUUUACUUUCUCAUAUAAAAUAUUUAUUUGAUGACUUUAUUAUUUCAUUCCAAGUCAUCAACUCAUCUCUAUAGAGCUGCUGCUUAUCCUGUCUGACAAAAUCACUAUUUUAGUAGUUCUUCUAAGUAAAUAAGACGUACUUUUAUGACCGCUGAACACCAACUGUCAAUCACUUAGAUCAUGUAUUUCCAGGUAGAGAAUCCUCGCAACGCAACUGCUUUUUAUCUCUCUCAUGCAUUCUCUCGUCUCUCCGUCUCAGUCAAUGAGGUUUCCGUAUCUGCUCCACACAGAGUGGACAAGCAAGUGGGCGUGCAAUGGAUUAUGGGAAUUAAUUGCCAUAUUUUCUGUGCCAAACUAUGUCGAAUAUUGACCUGUUGGAAACUACAACUACCUACUACAUUGCAUAGUUCGUGCUUGAUCUGAUUUAUCUCUACAGAAACUGAGCAUCGAGCUCACAGAAGAAGAAAAAAAAUAACUAUAUGGAAUUCAAAUAAUUGAGCCGACGUCGGUUAAUUAGUUGUUUAAAAAACCAAAAAUAACAAAAAUGUUGGUUAAAUGCUCAGCUCUAGAUUCUAAUGACAUCAUCAGUGUGCAUCAUGUGAUUUUAACCAAUUAUGAGUAGGCAUUGCCUACUAAUUGGUUGAUGAUGUCAUAGAAAACACUUAUCUUCUCUUUCUUUUUUACUACAAAACAUAGAAAUGCCCGUUUUUCACAUAUGCCGAUGUUGGGGUGGUGCUGGAGAUGAUGAAUAUGAAGUUGAAACAUUUAGAAAUUUCCCUUUAACAUUUCUUCAAACUGCCUUGUAUUUAUGAUUGUCCUUGAAGUUAUUAGAAGUUACAGUAUUUGAAGUUUAUAGCAAUUUGGAUUUUUGUAGAGGAUAGAUAUUGCCAGGAUAGAUGGAUAUCUACAGGCCAGUUUUAAUACAAAUGACUUAUACAAAAUACAUUUUAUUGGGCUUUAGAAAUUAAGCAGUUAGGCUGAC